This 404-nucleotide long non-coding RNA is filed under the name Sorghum bicolor (sorghum). Its description in RNAcentral is "long non-coding RNA (SBIC_LNC011478)". The record is from RNAcentral. Lineage: Eukaryota; Viridiplantae; Streptophyta; Magnoliopsida; Poales; Poaceae.
AGGGCUUAAUGCUACAAAGGACCAUCGGCUAACAAUUAGCACAAGCCAGCUAGUAGGGGUACUGAUUUGCUGGCGCGAGCUGACAGAUUUGGGACUAUAGUCGACAGUUUCCUCAGGAUCAUCGCCAUCGACGGAGCAAGUCGGCGUCUGCAAGCGUACGUACACUUUUGUGGGUCAAAACUAGUGGCCUAUUCAGUCUCUUUAUCUAUCCACUAGUAUUCAUUUAUUUACAAAAGACACAGGAAAAAUCAGUGGUCUUUGUCUUUCUUAGGCCUUGUUUAGUUUGUAAAAAUUUUACUUUUUGGCUAUUGUAGCACUUUCGUUUUUAUUUGACAAACAUUGUCCAAUCAUGGAGUAACUAGGCUCAGAAGAUUUAUCUCACAAAUUACAGGUAAACUAUGCAA